UUCAUUACUGCCAAAAUCUUCUAAUUGCUUAGCAAGUUUUUGCGGAGCCGUUGACAGAUUGCCCAGCUUACAAGUUAAAGAAGAUCCAAAAAAAAAAAAAAAAAGAAAGAAAAAGAAAAAGAAAAACAUUUAUGUUAGCAAACCGAGCAUAAAGCAAGGAAAAGACAACCGGCGCAAACUUUCCUAAAGAAUAGAUCACUGGAGUUUUCUUAUCAAAAGGUAGAACUACACGUCUUUAUACUUUCCACCAAAUAUUCGCAGGUGAUAAUUCAACCGACAGAAUCGUUCAAUAGUUAUUUCCAUUUUUUUUUUAAAAAAAAAAAAACGGAGACAAAAACAAAGCUCUCGUUGCAGAAUAAACCAGCUGAGAAACGGUGAAUUUGCGUGAAGAAAGCCUCGAUUUCUUCGAAUAAAAAAAUUUACUAAAAGCUGAACAAAUUAUGAAGAGCUAGGUUUACCAUAAAAUGAAAGAGAUGCGAUGAUCCUCACCAAAAAUUGGUAAGAAUUCCACAAACUCUCAUGCCAAGGAAAUACCGCUCAACACCUCCUUCCUUCCACCUACAAGAAGCACGCCACCUUUCUAAGAUCACACAUGAAGAAUUGAGAAAUCGACGAUCAAAUCCAAGAAACAACCUGAAUUUGUGAGCUCCAUAAUUGGAAGAUAAACCUGUAUUUACUAAAGGAAAAAGCCAUACCAUGACCAUGAACUGUGAUUGGUGGAGCUUCUGCUUUGUGCUUAUUCGGUCAAAAAAAUACAAAUAAAAAUUGGUUAAAAAGAAUAAUAUUUAUUAAUUUAAAAUUAAAUUAUUUAGAAGAAGAAUAUUUUUA
RNAcentral lists this long non-coding RNA (828 nucleotides) under Carica papaya (papaya). RNAcentral's name for it is "long non-coding RNA (CPAP_LNC011365)". Lineage: Eukaryota; Viridiplantae; Streptophyta; Magnoliopsida; Brassicales; Caricaceae. The record is from RNAcentral.